This is a long non-coding RNA of Bos taurus (domestic cattle), 3740 nucleotides long. NCBI's taxonomy places the organism in Eukaryota, Metazoa, Chordata, Mammalia, Artiodactyla, Bovidae. The record is from Ensembl.
AGAGAGAGAGAGCGAGCGCUCCGUGGAUAGGUCUGCUAGCAACAGCCGUGCUGCAGCAGAGAGAGAGAGAGAAAUCAAGAAACAAGUCAUAGCAACACCGGGCACCAGGUACCACAUCCAGCUCAUUGACGGUGGUUAUUUCAUUUAUUCCUCACUGCAACCCUGCAAGGAGUGGCUGGUAAGUGUUCUGCUCAUGAUUAGAACCUUGGUGUCUCACAGCCUUUGCAUUUUUCUUCUCUCACUCUUCAGUGUCUAUAAAAUGCCUCUUAGGAGGUAGAUCCCCAAAACACGUCUAUGUAAGGAGUUCUGUGAGUCCCUGAUGCUUUGUGGGAGUUUGGGUGGCUCAUCUUCCUGAACCCAGGGUCUGGGUCACUUAGCUCUUCUGUGCCACCCUCCCUGCGGCCUCGUUAACUUUCUCCUCUUGCUUUGAGGAUAGGUUCAUGCAAGAGGAUGAGUUUGUUUUAUUUUUGUAGCUGAAAUUAAUGGACUGCCAAACCUCAGUUUUCCCCUUGGAAGAGGAGGUGGAGGUGGAGGGGUUGCAUUACCUUCAGGGCAGACAGAAUAACCCCCAGAAUCCAGAGAUCCGUAGAGAGCAAAGAAGCAGAGAUGUGGCACUUGGGCAGAGCUGGGUCUACAUCUUGACUCUGCCUCACUCAUCUGGGUGGUUUGAGACGUGUUACUUGAUUUCCCUAAGUCUUACUGUCCCCUGUCAGUGAAAUGAAGCCAUUAUACCUACUACACAGAAAUGCCUAAUAUAUUGUCAAACAGGUAGGAUCCUAAGAGAAAGCGAUGCAGCUUCGUUCCCCUUGCCCAGUUGUCUGCUGCGGACUUAAGAAAGGAAUAUACGAGGUAGCUCGAGAAGAAAUAAGGAAGAAGGAAGCUUAUGUGUCUUAAGUGGUAUCAUAGGCAGGGGCAGCGAGGAGGUAACCGGCCAGUAGGCACCUGAAGCCUGCCAGGUCGUGCCUUUCCCCCCCGGGCUAAAUACCCGUUCUUGCAUUAGAACCUUCUGAAUCAGGAAAGCACCAUGGAAACGUAGAUGAGCCAUGUGGUGGCAGAGUGAGGGUUAACCAGUGAGCCUCCCUGGGAUCCUUUUGAUGCCAGGUUACUUUCCCUUCUUUCCGAAUGCAGCGGUGGCUGCCCGCUUCCUGACGCUAUCGCAUCCCGUGGGAGGGGAGUUGGACACCCUGAAGCCCCUCGUCACCAGUUCCGGGGCUGCAGAGCAGGGAGUGACGACAGCUCAUGAGUCGUCAGCCGACGGCAGCGGGGACCCUGGUGACGGCUGCUUUGUUGUUUUUUUCCUCUUCGGAUGAUGACUCAGUGUGUCGGGAGCCGGGAGAUGGAGCACUCACCGAGUGGCCAGGACGUUCUGUCAACAUGAAAACAGCAAAAACAGCUCGUCGGAGCUCAGAGCUGACCCUGGGCUGGGGUCAUUUUCAGGAAGGGCUUGGCAAAGAAAAGGCGACCGCCACGUAUUGGGUUGGCAGGGGUGAUACCGGGUAACUUAACAGGGCUCUGUAGACCCUUGAAUUUUAGAACCUGAAAAGAAAACGCAGCCGUUUGUGUUACUAGAUGAGCUUGGCAACCAGGAUGGCUUCUUGGGCUCCUCGCACUCGUCCCCGACAAAGAGACAUCUUUCCGGGUCCAGAAAACCCCCUUGGGGAUUUCUCAGUGUGGCUCAUUGCCUUGGAUGGAGGGCAAGUCUCUUUUUGUGGGGGAGCAAGGGUGGGGCCUGGCAGCCCUAGUGCCCGUUGUGGGGAUGUAGUGUCUUGGGGGUCUCCUCUGCCGGCAUCAUGCGAAGAUGGUGGCUCCCGCGUCACCGGCCUCAAGCCGAAGACCAGCUCUCUCGGGCAGCCAUUCUUCAGCCUUCCCUUUCCUCAUCCCAAAUUACAAGCUUUUCUUCUUCUUCACCAUCUUCCUCACUUCCUCCUCAGGUGCCAUGGCGGGCCUUGACCUCCGCGUCUGUGUGUGUGUGUGUGUGUGUGUGGUGUCAUCAUGGCGGCUCGGGGUUCUAGGCUUUUCUCCCGUCUGCAGCAAUGCGCUUUGUGCGCGUGACGCCCCCGUGGCCCCGCCCCGCCGACCAGGCCCCGCCCUGCCGCCAGGCCCCGCCCCGCCGCCAGGCCUGUCCCUGAGACCCAGCGAGGAGACAGGCCCUUCGUUCUUUCGCCGCAGAAUCUCGGCCAAACCACCAUCAUCCCCAGCAUCCGGCUUCCCUUCUCUCCUCCCGCUCUGUCGGCCAGCGUCUGGGGCAGAGGAGCAAACAACUUGUGGGAGGGGAUGAUGGAGGGACAGAUAGCCUGGCCGAGCUCUCUGGUCUCCUCAGCCCGGGUGCCAUUUUUCUCAGCCUCCCACGCUCCUGUGGACGAUGCCUGCUCUGACUUUUGUCGCCGCGCACCUCCUCUUCCCCUGAGGACCUCCCCGCGUGACUCGUUGGGAUCUGGGGUCUCGGGCGCCCAGAAGGAGCAGGGGGACCCGGCCCAGGUCACAGGGGAGAGCUGAAGAGACAGGCGAGGGGGUGGGAGCUGGCCGACCCCACCCAAGAGCAAAGGCAGCCCCAUCCCCACCCCCCACCCUUUUUUGCAGUCAUGUCUUUUCGAGCCUAAGCAGAGAGCAACUUGACCUGAAAAAAUUCGUGUCUCUAUGUGGGUGUUGGAACGUCUGCGGAUCUUUGUCCGGAAGCUGCGUGGUGCCCAGAGCCCAGGUUCUGUGCUUAAGGGAGCUGUUGUCCUUUGGGUUUUUGCAGCUGUUUUUGCAGCAGUGUGAUGGAUGGGUCCUCCUCAAGGACCCCUGUGCCCGCUGUGACUGGCCUUUCUCCAGGACGCUGGGCCCGGCGGUGGCCCUGCUUCGUGUUGGUGGACGGGGCGCCGCAGCGGAGGGCGGUGUCCCGGGGCUCAGAAGAGACCCCGAUGACUGGGGCCUGCGCGUGGUGCCUCACCUGGUGGUCCCUGGGAACUGAGCCCACCUUUCACUUCUUCCCCACAGAGAACUCAGGGGAGUUCAGCUCCAGAAGUAGGUGACAGCCUGCUGGAGACUCCGCUGCUGACGGUGCUGGCGUUCAGAAGACACUCGUCAUCCUUUGGGGUAAACGUGUUGCCUGUUUGCGUGUCUUAUUUGGAACACACAGAAAAAGGAGCUGCCUGGCAGCCUGGCUCUCCGCGGUAAGUAUCUGUCUGCAUUCUUUUAUCCCUUCGAAUGUCGAAAGUGGACGGACGCGGUGCUGAACUCAGCUGGCUCUUGUGCCUUCUUGGUUCUUUGCUGCACAGCCCCGCCCUUGGUCCUCCCGAAGCGGGCGCUGGAUCCGUUUCCCCAUGCUGCUGGAGAGCUGCAGAGAGCCUAGCAGUCAGUGUGCCGCCCCCGUGCAUCCCCCUCGGGUUCAGGAGAAGUCGAUUCUCCCUAAAAUGGAGCCAAGAAGCCGGGUCCCCCCAGAACUGAGUGUUCACGGGCUGAAUGGAAGGGCCCUGCCUGUGCUCACUGCCCCCAGCAGGGAGGUGACUCUCAGUUGCCUGGGUGGGGGAGUGGCGAGGGCGGGGAUGUGCCUUGCCAGCAUCUAGCAUGGUUCUCUGCCAAGUUCUAGCUCCAGAUCGCUAGGCCGCUAGGAACCUAGACUAUAUAUAGCGUUGUGCUAAGCAAUUCUUAUCGGACCUGUCUGUCCCGUCACCCCCACGGGGAGGAGAGCUUCUAUCAGAAAACCAGAACCUGGAGAGAGUAAGCCACCUCCAUGGGGCCUUUUAUUCUGGGAAGGG